This 566-nucleotide ribosomal RNA is filed under the name Peltophryne taladai (Cuban spotted toad). Its description in RNAcentral is "partial 16S ribosomal RNA". It matches the Rfam family "Bacterial large subunit ribosomal RNA", at positions 1819 to 2597 of the family's 2925-position model. Lineage: Eukaryota; Metazoa; Chordata; Amphibia; Anura; Bufonidae. The record is from RNAcentral.
CGCCUCUUGAAUUUAUAUAAGAGGUCCAGCCUGCCCAGUGACCCUGUUCAACGGCCGCGGUAUCCUAACCGUGCGAAGGUAGCGUAAUCACUUGUUCUUUAAAUGAGGACUAGUAUGAACGGCAUCACGAAGGUUAUACUGUCUCCUUUUUCCAAUCAGUGAAUCUAAUCUCCCCGUGAAGAAGCGGGGAUAAAANUAUAAGACGAGAAGACCCUAUGGAGCUUAAAACAAUACAGCACUUGCUAAAAAAUUUAACAAUUCCAGAAUUUUUCAUUUUAUAAGCAACAUGACUGUAAGUUUUUGGUUGGGGUGACCACGGAGUAUAACACAACCUCCACGUUGAAAGAAUUUUAUUCUAAGCCAAAAAUUACAUUUUUAAGCAUCAAUAAAUUGACAUCUAUAGACCCAAUACUAUGGAACAACGAACCAAGUUACCCAAGGGAAAACAGCGCAAUCCACUUCAAGAGCUCCUAUCGACAAGCGGGUUUACGACCUCGAUGUUGGAUCAGGGUUUCCCAGUGGUGCAGCCGCUACUAAAGGUUCGUUUGUUCAACGAUUAAAACCCU